GAGAGUGCUGAUGUGUCUUGUACUGUCAACUUAAAUAUCUCCAUACAGACAUGACAUAUAUCACUUCACUUCCAACCCAUUGGCUCUCCAGUGUGCCUAGAAGGAAAAGAGAAACAAACAGCUUCAGAAGGGCUGUUCUGGGGAGGACAUGAGGCACAAGGUAUAAGGCCACAGAGAGGAGCCACAAACUAUCAAGGAGAUGUGGAUGUAGAGACAAGAGGUGAAAAUGGUUAAUUGCAAAAAGUGUGCGAGAGUUAUACCAGCAAGUGUUGUCAUACUCGGGAUGGCAGUGGAAUGUGCAGAAAUACGAAGACAUCAUAGGUAAGUGAUUUUUUUUUAAAUAGUAAAUAUUAGAAAACAGUAAUUUUAAGGUUCAAAUAACCUUCAAAGGUUGUUUAGGGAAUAUUUAUUUGGAUGAGCAUUUGUAGUUUUGGGACCUUUAAAUUCCUGAUGUUUUUUUCUAGUCUUAAUUCCUACUCAUAUCCCUUGUUAAAGAAAAAUCGUUCCGACACUUGUUAAAAAUGGCAAGGAAGGCUUUGUGCAAGACUAUUACAAUAGGGAGAGAAGUUGAGUUGAACUCUGAAUAUAGCAAAGGCAGACAGCAAUAGAAAAUUACUCAGAAAUCAAGGGUGGGGAAUUCUUGUUAAAGCAGGCUUACCAGGAUUCCUGCUAAAG
Long non-coding RNA from Herpailurus yagouaroundi (jaguarundi), 675 nucleotides. RefSeq lists it as uncharacterized. The transcript is spliced from 3 exons. NCBI's taxonomy places the organism in Eukaryota, Metazoa, Chordata, Mammalia, Carnivora, Felidae. The record is from RefSeq and is a predicted model, not a curated record.